Molecule: ribosomal RNA, 215 nt
Filed under: Paenibacillus sp. CGMCC 1.18879
Lineage: Bacteria; Bacillati; Bacillota; Bacilli; Caryophanales; Paenibacillaceae
Description: partial 16S ribosomal RNA
Rfam family: Bacterial small subunit ribosomal RNA
Source: RNAcentral
ACUCAAAGGAAUUGACGGGGACCCGCACAAGCAGUGGAGUAUGUGGUUUAAUUCGAAGCAACGCGAAGAACCUUACCAGGUCUUGACAUCCCCCUGAAUACGUUAGAGAUAGCGUAGGCCUUCGGGACAGGGGAGACAGGUGGUGCAUGGUUGUCGUCAGCUCGUGUCGUGAGAUGUUGGGUUAAGUCCCGCAACGAGCGCAACCCUUGACUUUA